Long non-coding RNA from Odocoileus virginianus texanus, 797 nucleotides. RefSeq lists it as uncharacterized. The record is from RefSeq and is a predicted model, not a curated record. NCBI's taxonomy places the organism in Eukaryota, Metazoa, Chordata, Mammalia, Artiodactyla, Cervidae.
GAGUGACCGUUGGCGGUCUUGCUCUGCCAUUGGCUGGGGCCACGGUAAGCCCCUCCCUCAAGUGACCAACUGUCCCUGAGCAGCAUUUAGUGGGCACGCUGAACAGACAGUUGGCUGGGUGGUGGUCCUCAGGCAGAGAGUGAGAAGUCAGAGGCAGCCACUGUUGUGCCUUGAUCUACAUCCGUGAGUUGCAUUGGCACAGGCAAAGAAAGAAGAAACUGUUCUGUGCUUCUUACACAGAGAUCUGUUGGGUGAUCGAUGCAGGGAACUAGAAUUCCUCUGUCCAGGGACUCAAGAGUCCAGGAAAGAGGAGCAAAUAUACACAUGUAUCUGGACCUAUGAGAAGUUGAAAGAAAGCAUGACCUUACCAGUUCAAAAGAUUAGACCAUGAUAAACAAGAGAAAAAACUGCUGUUUCUGUGAGAUAUGCUGUUGUAGUGCCAGAAGAACAAUGUGAUGAACCAUGGCCCAGAUGAGGAGGUUCCUAGAUAAUCAUCAGUAGGAAGGGUCCUUUUACCCCUAGCAUCCACUUCCUGGGGCUCACAUGGCAUCAGGGAGAAGGGUCUGUCCAUGAUGCCGUCAGACAUUGGAGGGGUUCUUGCAUGGAAAUAUUGGAUAUAGCAAUGAACUAGCAGACACAAACUACUUUUUGGGAUUUUUAGCCUCUUCUGGAAGAUUAACAUACCAACAGUAAAAGAUGGUGCAUGCCAUGAAAGUGGAGUAAAAGAGAUUGACUUCGUUAUGGCUGUAGUUUUGCAAAAUUUUUAUGUGUUAUAAAAAUAAAAGAAAAGAGAAUCA